UGCAGGAUCCUGAUGGCAGAAGUCGGCGCAGCUUGUCCUCCUUUUUUGAGUUUGGGGCCUUACGGCAAAGGAAAAGUACACCAAGGUAGAUCAUAUGUAUCAGGCAAUGUCAAAGAACGACCAAAUCUCAUUGUCAUCGCGGUCUUUUAUAACAUAGUAUACUGUCCAGACAUGUAUAUCGUAAAAUGCGGAAGGUCACUCAUACUCGCUGUUAUUAUACUCGCGUCUUUUUUUCCUAGUCCCGUCGCGUCGCGAGUAUGCCGUGAAAUUAUUUAAGAACAUUUCCUCGAAGGUUGCAUACCGAUAUUCCAGUAACUUACACCUCAUGUAUCCCAGCCAGAAAGUAAAUUGACAAGGUGUUGGAAAGAAUAUCAUGUCAUACGUGCGGAUAGGCGAUAUCUGACUCGUGUGAUCAGAGCAAUCGCCUUCGGGGUUCACGCUGCCAACUUCACGCUCAUUCGUAAUUGCCCACUUUCCGCACUUGCGACAAAAUAUACUACUAUUUAUCUUAUAUGGAACAACCCCUAGAAAGAUUCAACUGAUAGUAAUGCUACACUUGGCAGCCAAGUGUGAGUACAGAGUGAACUAGUGUAUGUUAGAUACUUCGCUUCAUACCUAUAUUCUGUACAUACGGAUGACACAUGUUUAGUUCUCAGUGGUACUAGGGCUGACAUAACAUUUUCUUCUUUUUUUUUUUUGUUUUUCCACGAACUUGCGGGAAUGGCGGCCCCUGUGGAAGAGGGCGCUCUAGGCAGGCACCCGGUUCGCCCGCACCUAGCUACGGCGCUGUCUACACGAUUGCAGUUCAACGGUUCAGGUCGCGAAUAGCCAAUGAUAUUACGUAUCUUUUUUAGCUUGACAUUAAGUGGGAUCGCCCUCCUUCCGUCUUUCCUCGCGCAGUGCAUCUUUGCAGAGCUUUACGCAUGCACGGUUCGCGCACACGUUACAUGUAACAGCUGCUAUCCUCCAAUUUCAAAUCGACCAAGCCAGUAGCGCAGUGAUGUCACGUGUGCCAAAUGCGCAAUUACGACUAGUUUAAUUAGUUGAUUCGUAACCUCGUUGAUGUCAUCGUGGUGGGUAUAUUAAAAAUAUUACAGGAGAUGGCAGCGGAGAAGAGAAAUAAAAGAAAAAAGAGGAAAAUAAUCAUUCAAGUCUUGGGAAACGAGAAAUAUUCUAUUCCUGCAUCUAUGUAUUCACUGUGAAUGUGUGCCUCGAAGUUCGAAUAGCAAAUAGAUAGGAACGCUGGUCUUCUGACCAGCCCCGGGUACCAUCAUCCAUAGCUACGGACGCAGCGCUGCGUGCAAAGAAGUUGGCAAGUACGAGCAAAGCUGACAAUGAGCAAAGAUUCUACCGUCACUGCACUCUGACGUUAAACUAACGUGAAAACGAAAUCAAAGUGACGCAAAAUUAAAACUUUAAAGACAAUGAACAGUAAAAAAUUGUAUGUAUCUUUGAUUAUUAAAGUGUCCGAAAAAGUUCACGACAAUAUGAGUUAAAAAAACGAUAUAACUAAAGGAUCACAAGUUAUAUAUUGUAUUGUGGUUGAAAUACCGAUAUUGUUGGCUUUUUAGUUUGGUUUGUACAUUUUUUCAGGUCAAAGGACGGUUAAUCAGAAAUUUAUCGUUUUCCGGAAAUGUUGUAUAAUCAAUUUGUGCAUGACUGUUUACGUAAAUACAUUCUAUAUAACGAUUCGGUACGCCGUCUUAUCACGGUCUUAACGUAUGUGUGUGGGUCUGAUAUUGAAAUAAAUGGCCUUUAAAAAUCCGUAAGUAUCACGUUGUGCGUGAGGAAUGGUAACCCGGAAGUAUCCAUGGUCACGAAAUACAAAAACUAUUGAGAGUUGCAGGUAUUUCGAACCUUAGAAAUGAUUGGAAAAAAGUAGAAAGAGAUAUUCUGUGUAGUUUCUAUGGUGAAUAUUCGAAAACUUUCAGCAUCGCAGUGCUGGCAUCCGUUGUUACAUGCAUAUAAUGAGGGAAAAAAUGCUCUGGAUCAUCUAGAGAAGAAUAACUGAGACAUGCCAGAGAAAAGGAUGUCGAUUUCCAGAAUUUGUUUUUUGGUUUACUUUUUGCUUACCUUUUUCUUGCGCGGAUGCUGUUCACCUAGAUAAUCAAGGACGAUCCCCUCAUCCAGAGUU
Neodiprion fabricii is the source of this 2134-nucleotide long non-coding RNA. RefSeq lists it as uncharacterized. The transcript is spliced from 3 exons. Lineage: Eukaryota; Metazoa; Arthropoda; Insecta; Hymenoptera; Diprionidae. The record is from RefSeq and is a predicted model, not a curated record.